UGCCAGCAGCCGCGGUAAUACGGAGGGGACUAGCGUUGUUCGGAAUUACUGGGCGUAAAGCGCGCGUAGGCGGACUAUUAAGUCAGGGGUGAAAUCCCGGGGCUCAACCCCGGAACUGCCUUUGAUACUGGUAGUCUUGAGUUCGAGAGAGGGAGGUAGAAUUUCCGGUGUAGCGGUGAAAUGCGUAGAGAUCGGAAGGAAUACCGGUGGCGAAGGCGGCCUCCUGGACCAAUAUUGACGCUGAGGUGCGAAAGCGUGGGUAGCAAACAGGAUUAGAUA
This 279-nucleotide ribosomal RNA is filed under the name uncultured bacterium. RNAcentral's name for it is "partial 16S ribosomal RNA". It matches the Rfam family "Bacterial small subunit ribosomal RNA", at positions 506 to 784 of the family's 1533-position model. The record is from RNAcentral.